GACCCCGUGGAGGACCGAACCGACCUAGGUUGAAAACUGGGCGGAUGACCUGUGGAUCGGAGUGAAAGGCUAAUCAAACUCAGAGAUAUCUGGUUCUCCCCGAAAUAUAUUUAGGUAUAGCCUCAGACGUUCAAUAACGGUUGUAGAGCACUGUUUGGCCUAGGGGGCCUACCAGCUUACCGAAGUCAGGCAAACUCCGAAUGCCGUUAUUCCAGAGCGUGGCAGUCAGACUGCGGGGGAUAAGCUUCGUGGUCGAAAGGGAAACAGCCCGGACCGUCGGCUAAGGCCCCUAAUUCCAUGCUAAGUGGGAAACGAUGUCCGAUUGCACAGACAACCAGGAUGUUGGCUUAGAAGCAGCCACCAUUCAAAGAGUGCGUAACAGCUCACUGGUCAAGUGGUCGGGCGCGGACAAUGUAACGGGGCUCAAGCAUGGAGCCGAAGCCACGGACUUCUAGCUUGCUAGGAGUGGUAGGGGAGCGUUCCCAGUGCGGAGAAGCGGCGGCGGCAAGCCAGCCGUGGAGCGCUGGGAAGUGAGAAUGCUGGCAUGAGUAACGAAAGGCGAGUGAGAAACUCGCCCGCCGAAUGCCCAAGGGUUCCUGAGUAAAGCUAAUCUGCUCAGGGUUAGUCGGGACCUAAGCCGAGGCCGACAGGCGUAGGCGAUGGACAACAGGUUGAUAUUCCUGUACCACGUCCCCACCGCUAUCACCAAUGGCGGGACGGGGUAGGUGAAGCCAACCCAGGCGAUGGUCGACCUGGGGUAACCGCGUAGGGCGACCGAUAGGGAAAUCCGUCGGUCACAUAGCCUGAGACGGGAUGCCGAGAGCGCUCAGCUCGAAGUGGUUGCAACCAUGCCUCCUAGAAAAGCGUCUAGGGAGGUGGGACGUGCCCGUACCAAAACCGACACAGGUGGGCAGGUAGAGAAUACCAAGGCGAUCGGAAGAACCCUCGUUAAGGAACUCGGCAAAAUGGUCCCGUAACUUCGGGAGAAGGGACGCCCCGGUAGAGUAAAGCCCUUUACGGGCUCAGCUCGAGGGGGCCGCAGUGAAACGACCCAAGCGACUGUUUACCAAAAACACAGGUCUCUGCGAAGUCGAAAGACGACGUAUAGGGGCUGACGCCUGCCCGGUGCCGGAAGGUCACGAGGAGAGGUUAGCCUUCGGGCGAAGCUUCGAAUCCAAGCCCCGGUAAACGGCGGCGGUAACUAUAACCGUCCUAAGGUAGCGAAAUUCCUUGUCGGGUAAGUUCCGACCUGCACGAAUGGCGUAACGACUUGGGCGCUGUCUCUUCGAGGGAUCCGGUGAAACUGUAGUCUCGGUGAAGAUGCCGAGUACCCGUGGUUGGACGGAAAGACCCCGUGAACCUUUACUACAGCUAGAUGUUGGAGUUCGGUGCACGUUGUCCAGGAUAGGUGGGAGGCUUUGAAGCCGGCACGCCAGUGUCGGUGGAGCCAACCUUGGGAUACCACCCUUCGUGUUCUGGGCUUCUAACCCGCUGCCGUAAUCCG
RNAcentral lists this ribosomal RNA (1504 nucleotides) under metagenome. RNAcentral's name for it is "bacterial LSU rRNA". It matches the Rfam family "Bacterial large subunit ribosomal RNA", at positions 760 to 2242 of the family's 2925-position model. The record is from RNAcentral.